Molecule: ribosomal RNA, 265 nt
Filed under: uncultured prokaryote
Description: partial 16S ribosomal RNA
Rfam family: Bacterial small subunit ribosomal RNA
Source: RNAcentral
UACGUAGGUGGCGAGCGUUGUCCGGAUUUACUGGGCGUAAAGGGAGCGUAGGCGGACUUUUAAGUGAGAUGUGAAAUACCCGGGCUCAACUUGGGUGCUGCAUUUCAAACUGGAAGUCUAGAGUGCAGGAGAGGAGAAUGGAAUUCCUAGUGUAGCGGUGAAAUGCGUAGAGAUUAGGAAGAACACCAGUGGCGAAGGCGAUUCUCUGGACUGUAACUGACACUGAGGCUCGAAAGCGUGGGGAGCAAACAGGAUUAGAUACCCU